GCCCAGGUGUUGGAACUGGUAGACAAGCAGGAUUUAGAUUCCUGUGUCCUCGUGGCGUGAGGGUUCGACUCCCUCCCUGGGCACCA
This 86-nucleotide transfer RNA is filed under the name Pseudomonadales bacterium. RNAcentral's name for it is "tRNA-Leu". It matches the Rfam family "tRNA". Rfam says of the family: Transfer RNA (tRNA) molecules are approximately 80 nucleotides in length. Their secondary structure includes four short double-helical elements and three loops (D, anti-codon, and T loops). The record is from RNAcentral. Lineage: Bacteria; Pseudomonadati; Pseudomonadota; Gammaproteobacteria; Pseudomonadales. RNAcentral also lists the same sequence under 5 other names.